Long non-coding RNA from Centropristis striata (black sea bass), 298 nucleotides. RefSeq lists it as uncharacterized. Lineage: Eukaryota; Metazoa; Chordata; Actinopteri; Perciformes; Serranidae. The transcript has 3 exons. The record is from RefSeq and is a predicted model, not a curated record.
CUACAACUGAUUUCUUUCUUUUCAUUUCCGUCUCUCCAGCCCCCUGGAGGUGGAUCGUGGUGUCUGUGGGUUUAGCAGCACUCAUCACAUCUGUUGUGGCGGUCAACAUCUGGAUGAGAACUAAAGAGAAGGAAACCCAGACGGAUGAACUCACUGUGCGUUAUGAUGUAGAUGAUGACACAGUGAACUAUGAAAACAUCAGACCUGCUGAGGGAGUUUGACCAACACUUCUGCCUCCAUCACACUCCACCGAUCAACAAAGAAACUAAACUUUUCUCACCAGCAGUCAGUUCAGAAC